Molecule: ribosomal RNA, 433 nt
Filed under: uncultured bacterium
Lineage: Bacteria
Description: partial 16S ribosomal RNA
Rfam family: Bacterial small subunit ribosomal RNA
Source: RNAcentral
AACGAACGCUGGCGGCAUGCCUAACACAUGCAAGUCGAACGAGACCUUCGGGUCUAGUGGCGCACGGGUGCGUAACGCGUGGGAACCUGCCUUUAGGUUCGGAAUAACUCAGAGAAAUUUGAGCUAAUACCGGAUGAUGUCUUCGGACCAAAGAUUUAUCGCCUUUAGAUGGGCCCGCGUUGGAUUAGCUAGUUGGUGGGGUAAAGGCCUACCAAGGCGACGAUCCAUAGCUGGUCUGAGAGGAUGAUCAGCCACACUGGGACUGAGACACGGCCCAGAAUCCGACGGGAGGCAGCAGUGGGGAAUAUUGGAAAAUGGGCGAAAGCCUGAUCCAGCAAUGCCGCGUGAGUGAUGAAGGCCUUAGGGUUGUAAAGCUCUUUUACCCGAGAUGAUAAUGACAGUAUCGGGAGAAUAAGCUCCGGCUAACUCCGUG